This 344-nucleotide ribosomal RNA is filed under the name uncultured bacterium. Its description in RNAcentral is "bacterial SSU rRNA". It matches the Rfam family "Bacterial small subunit ribosomal RNA", at positions 1 to 334 of the family's 1533-position model. The record is from RNAcentral.
CAUACGCGUUCAGAGUUUGAUCCUGGCUCAGGAUGAACGCUGGCGGCGUGCUUAACACAUGCAAGUCGAACGGACUUUACAUGAAACCUAGUGAUUGUAAAGUUAGUGGCGGACGGGUGAGUAACGCGUGGGUAACCUGCCUUGUACAGGGGGACAACAGUUGGAAACGACUGCUAAUACCGCAUAAGCGCACGGAGCUGCAUGGCUCAGUGUGAAAAACUCUGGUGGUACAAGAUGGACCCGCGUCUGAUUAGCUAGUUGGUGAGGUAACGGCCCACCAAGGCGACGAUCAGUAGCCGGCCUGAGAGGGUGAACGGCCACAUUGGGACUGAGACACGGCCCAA